This 694-nucleotide long non-coding RNA is filed under the name Hordeum vulgare. RNAcentral describes it as "long non-coding RNA (HVUL_LNC016837)". Lineage: Eukaryota; Viridiplantae; Streptophyta; Magnoliopsida; Poales; Poaceae. The record is from RNAcentral.
GAUCGGAUCAUUAUACGGGGUCUGUUAAAGAUGCUGUAAGCAUGACGCCAUCGAUGAGGCAAGAUGAAAAUCGAGAUGGCUAAGCAAAUGCAGACAAACAAAAACAUUAUCUUUGGCGGCCUAUUAAUUUUGCUCAUUCAUAACAUGGAGGGCCAUGCCAAUCUACAACAUUAACUCGCAAUCUUUUGGGCAGCGAAAGAGCAUGAGCACGUGAUUGGUGGUUCCAUCCACAAAAUCACUUACCAAGACGCGCUUUGAUUAUCAGGAUCUCACAAAAACACCCUAAACAAGAGGACGUGAUUGCAAUGCCAGACCUAUUAUAAAUCGCAUGACAGUAAAAAACUAUACUUUCAUUUUUGAACCACAUAUAGAGAUGUAAAAAAAAUCACCGGUCGUUUUUUAAUACACUAAAGAAGAAGAGGAGGAGGAAGAAGAAAAGCCAUAUGAGCCUUUCCAAGAUGCCAUGGCUUGGUAAUUCGGUUGAAAAUAGAAAAAGGAGAAACAAUCUCCAAACCAAAUGCCAGCAUCGUUGUUGUUAUCCGUCCGAACGUAUACUUGAACCGCCGGAGAGACGGCGGAUGAAACCACCACGUGACGCGCGUGUUCUCGACGACGCGAAUGAAUCAAAAGAACCCAUUUUAACACGGGCGUAGAAAUGCCCAUCCCACCAUUCCCGCGAUAAAUAAAAUCCGCC